This 114-nucleotide ribosomal RNA is filed under the name Xenisthmus clarus. Its description in RNAcentral is "partial 16S ribosomal RNA". The record is from RNAcentral. Lineage: Eukaryota; Metazoa; Chordata; Actinopteri; Gobiiformes; Xenisthmidae.
UUUUCCCAACAGCUAGCUCGCCCACCCCAAACCAACAAACCCCAUCAAUAAACCCUUAUUAACAUAACAAGUUAAAUAAAACAUUUUUCCCUCUCAGUACAGGAGAUAGAAAAG